This 754-nucleotide small RNA is filed under the name Pan troglodytes (chimpanzee). Its description in RNAcentral is "retained intron". Lineage: Eukaryota; Metazoa; Chordata; Mammalia; Primates; Hominidae. The record is from RNAcentral.
CAAGAACUUACACAAGAACAAAGAGAUCAACUGAGGGCAGAUAUCAGUAUUAUCAAAGGCAGAUACCGGAGCCAAAGUGGAGUAUGGCUUUUUCCCCCUCAUUAUAAUUGUUAAAACUUCUUAAAAAUUGUUUCACCCUUUUGAUAUAUAUUUCUUUGACUUAUAAACGAGCUAUAUUUAUAAACAAGGGACCAGAACACAUUAACUCAGUCAUGGUUAUGUGCUUCCUUGCUUUCAAUGUUUCAUUAUCUUAUAAGGAAGAGAACGUAUGGUCUCUUGAAAAAACUGACAAUAAGAAGUAACAACUGGACUACCACAUUUUUUUUUACAUCCUUAAUUUAACUCUUUGUCAAUUUCUUUUUUUACUUAAGGAGGACGAAUCCAUUAACCAACCAGGACCAAUCAAAACCAGACUGGCUAUUAGUCAGUCACAUUUAAUGACUGCACUUGGUCACACAAGACCAUCCAUUAGUGAAGAUGACUGGAAGAAUUUUGCUGAGCUAUAUGAAAGCUUUCAAAAUCCAAAGAGGAGAAAAAAUCAAAGUGGAACAAUGUUUCGACCUGGACAGAAAGUAACUUUAGCAUAAAAUAUACUUCUUUUUGAUUUGGUUCUGUUAAGUUUUUUGAUGGCUUUUCCAUAUGUUGUAACAGGAAAAAAAUGGUGUCUAUGAAUUUCUUCUUAAUUUAACAAAUUUGGUUAAUUUAUAAAAUCACAGAUUGGUAAAUGCUAUAAUUAUGUAAUGAUCAGGAUUGA